This 930-nucleotide ribosomal RNA is filed under the name Triticum aestivum (bread wheat). Its description in RNAcentral is "partial small subunit ribosomal RNA". Lineage: Eukaryota; Viridiplantae; Streptophyta; Magnoliopsida; Poales; Poaceae. The record is from RNAcentral.
AUGACCACAAAUUUUGGGGGCAAUACUGGGACUGGAUCGGAUUCUGAAGGCAUGAAGGCAUCUAAGACCAGUUUUGCUCUUCUUGCAUUUGGGCUUCCUCUUCUACUAUUCUUUCGAGUGCUGACACGGGUAACACAUAUUCAGAGUGCGAAGGGAAGAGAAAGCAUUGGGGAGCUUCUUAUUGUUGCACAGGGAAGGCUUCUGGAAUUUAAGAAUUCCAGUGUUAAUGGGGAGGAGGAUGAGGUGAUAUACAAGUUUGGAUUGACACUUGACUCCCUUGAUAGAUUGUACGAAGCUGUUGAGUUGCAUGGAAAUCAAAAAGAUGACUGGACAAGGUUGAAGGAGUACAUCUUUUGUCUUGCAAAACCUGGUGUGGCCAUAUGUGUAAACGUUCCAUGCAUGCUUCGGUCAAGGGAGCUUUCAACGCCGCGCUUCUCCCUCGCGCCACCCCUCGCCACUGCAUCUUCGCAUGCGCGCCUCCCAGCGACCGCCCGACCGCCCCGCCGCUACCUUGUUGCCUUCUUGCCCCCCGCCGCUCUUCUGCCCGACGUCGAGCCCGUUAGGCCCAUAUCGUCGUUGCCGGAAUCAAGGUCAUUUGCACGCGUCGCUGCCUGCCGGUUUGGUCUAAACGACACCAGCCAUAUGCUGGCGCCCACCACUAAUAAGACAAUAGCAAUGGCGGGCGUUGAUUUUCACCCGCCACUGGUACUUCCUCUGUAUAAAUACAGGAGCGUUGGGUUGGAGGGGCACCAAACCCACAGCUCCUUCCGCUCCUUUUACCCAGUUGAAGACAGCAGCCAGCUUCUUGGCAUAGAUCUCAGACGUGCGUUUCAGCGGGGAAGAAGAAGGAUGCCUGACCACAACGGGGUAAAGAAGGGCAUGUGGGACUUCCUCUGCGGCUGCUUCUCCCCCUCCGGCACUAAUGAUUGA